GAUGAACGCUAGCGGCAGGCCUAAUACAUGCAAGCCGAACGGUAAGAUUUGUAGCAAUACGAGUCCUAGAGUGGCGUAAGGGUGCGUAACACGUAUGCAAUCUGCCCGCAACUGGAGGAUAGCUCGGGGAAACCCGGAUUAACCCUCCAUAAGAUCACACAAUGGCAUCAAAGAGUGAUUAAAUCUCCGGAGGUUGCGGAUGAGCAUGCGGUUGAUUAGCUAGUUGGUAGUGUAACGGACUACCAAGGCAAUGAUCAAUA
RNAcentral lists this ribosomal RNA (260 nucleotides) under uncultured bacterium. RNAcentral's name for it is "partial 16S ribosomal RNA". It matches the Rfam family "Bacterial small subunit ribosomal RNA", at positions 28 to 285 of the family's 1533-position model. The record is from RNAcentral.